GAUGAACGCUGGCGGCGUGCCUAAUACAUGCAAGUCGAGCGAACAGACGAGGAGCUUGCUCCUCUGACGUUAGCGGCGGACGGGUGAGUAACACGUGGAUAACCUACCUAUAAGACUGGGAUAACUUCGGGAAACCGGAGCUAAUACCGGAUAAUAUAUUGAACCGCAGGGUUCAAUAGUGAAAGACGGUUUUGCUGUCACUUAUAGAUGGAUCCGCGCCGCAUUAGCUAGUUGGUAAGGUAACGGCUUACCAAGGCAACGAUGCGUAGCCGACCUGGGAGGGUGAUCGGCAACACUGGAAUUGAGACACGGUCCAGACUCCUAGGGGAGGCAGAAGUAGGGAAUCUUGCGAAAGGGGGGAAAGCCUGACGGAGCAACGCGGCGUGAGUGAUGAAGGUCUUCGGAUCGUAAAACUCUGUUAUUAGGGAAGAACAAAUGUGUAAGUAACUAUGCACGUCUGGACGGUACCUAAUCAGAAAGCCACGGCAAACUACGG
Molecule: ribosomal RNA, 496 nt
Filed under: uncultured bacterium
Lineage: Bacteria
Description: partial 16S ribosomal RNA
Rfam family: Bacterial small subunit ribosomal RNA
Source: RNAcentral